UAGGCAUUAGCUACAAGUAAUAAGAAAAAUUAUAAAAGAGGAAAUUUUAAGUAUUCUGAUUCUUAUAAUAUUUAGAAUAUAUCAAGAAGAAAACUAAAAUAUUAUAGCGCUCAAACAAACCUAAAUAACAAAUAGUUUAAAAAAAUACAAAAUAAAAUAAUUAAAAGAAAUUUCUUCGGCAGAAAAUUUAUUCUAAAUUGGGAUGUUCUUGUUCUGCAUCACACUUCUGACAACUAAUACAAAAAUAUUGCAAUAAUAAAAAGGAAAUCAAAAGUUUUAAUUCCUAGCAAAAUUUAGCUUACUUAAAUAAGCUAAAUAAACUAAAGAUACUAAAUAACAAUAAUAAUAAUUGCAUAGAUAUUUCCUAAUCUUAAAACUAUUCCAAUAUAACAUCAUAUUUAUGCACCACUUGUUCUCC
Molecule: long non-coding RNA, 418 nt
Filed under: Carica papaya (papaya)
Lineage: Eukaryota; Viridiplantae; Streptophyta; Magnoliopsida; Brassicales; Caricaceae
Description: long non-coding RNA (CPAP_LNC002794)
Source: RNAcentral